UCACUUUCAACAACGGAUCUCUUGGCUCUCGUAUCGAUGAAGAACGUAGCGAAGUGCGAUAAGUAAUGUGAAUUGCAGAAUUCCAUGAAUCAUCGAAUCUUUGAACGCAAAUUGCACUCUCUGGUAACCCGGGGAGUACGCCUGUUUGAGGGUCAGUG
This 158-nucleotide ribosomal RNA is filed under the name Rhizophagus intraradices. RNAcentral describes it as "5.8S ribosomal RNA". It matches the Rfam family "5.8S ribosomal RNA". From Rfam's summary of the family: 5.8S ribosomal RNA (5.8S rRNA) is a component of the large subunit of the eukaryotic ribosome. It is transcribed by RNA polymerase I as part of the 45S precursor that also contains 18S and 28S rRNA. Lineage: Eukaryota; Fungi; Glomeromycota; Glomeromycetes; Glomerales; Glomeraceae. The record is from RNAcentral.